AACGAACGCUGGCGGCAGGCUUAACACAUGCAAGUCGAACGCCCCGCAAGGGGAGUGGCAGACGGGUGAGUAACGCGUGGGCAACCUGCCUUCCACUGGGGGAUAACACAGGGAAACCUGUGCUAAUACCGCAUGACAUCACAUAGGGCAUCCUGUGUGAUCAAAGGAGUGAUCCGGUGGAAGAUGGGCCCGGUCCCAUCAGCUAGUUGGUAGGGUAGAGGCCUACCAAGGCGACGAUCAGUAGGGGGCGUGAGAGCGUGAACCCCACACGGGUACUGAGACACGGACCCGACUCCUACGGGAGGCAGCAGUAAGGAAUAUUGGUCAAUGGAGGGAACUCUGAACCAGCCAUGCCGCGUGAAGGAAGAAGGCGCUACGCGUUGUAAACUUCUUUUGGGUGGACGAAAAUAAUCCAUUUAUGGAUAGCUGACGGUACCAUCAGAAUAAGCACCGGCUAACUCCGUGCCAGCAGCCGCGGUAAGGGUAGUACA
RNAcentral lists this ribosomal RNA (491 nucleotides) under uncultured bacterium. Its description in RNAcentral is "bacterial SSU rRNA". It matches the Rfam family "Bacterial small subunit ribosomal RNA", at positions 29 to 536 of the family's 1533-position model. The record is from RNAcentral.